This is a non-coding RNA of Danio rerio (zebrafish), 418 nucleotides long. The record is from the annotation of a RefSeq genome assembly. Lineage: Eukaryota; Metazoa; Chordata; Actinopteri; Cypriniformes; Danionidae.
GACUUAUGACUUGUUUAUGACUAUACUGUGUAAAGUUUUUAUUUUUUUUAACAUAACAAUGGAUAUUGUAUCCAAACUAGCUUUUGUCAUGUUUGCUCUCACAGAAUUCUGUUGGUGUCAAACACUGAGCGAGUCUGAUGCAGUGGUCAUUAAACCUGGAGGAUCUCACAGACUUACCUGUACAAUCUCUGGAUUCGGUGGUAACUAUGCCAUGUCAUGGAUCAGACAGACUGCAGGAGGAGGUCUGGAGUGGCUGGCAUACAUCUCAUCUGGCAGUGGUUCUAUAUACUACUCUCAGGCGGUUCAGAGGCGCUUCACCAUCUCCAGAGAUAACAGCAAGAACCAGAUGUAUCUGCAGAUGAAUAAUAUGAAGAUUGAAGACACUGCUGUAUAUUAUUGUGCAAGAGUGUCACAGUGA